This 1528-nucleotide ribosomal RNA is filed under the name Bacteroidetes bacterium GWF2_40_13. RNAcentral describes it as "bacterial SSU rRNA". It matches the Rfam family "Bacterial small subunit ribosomal RNA". Lineage: Bacteria; Pseudomonadati; Bacteroidota. The record is from RNAcentral.
AUUUAAUUACAAUGAAGAGUUUGAUCCUGGCUCAGGAUGAACGCUAGCGGCAGGCUUAACACAUGCAAGUCGAGGGGCAGCACUUCGGGUGGCGACCGGCGCACGGGUGAGUAACGCGUAUGCAACCUACCUCCGACCGGGGGAUAGCCCAGGGAAACUUGGAUUAAUACCCCAUAGGACCGGCGUGCCGCAUGGCACGGCGGUUAAAGUUCCGGCGGUCGGGGAUGGGCAUGCGUGCCAUUAGGUAGUUGGCGGGGUAACGGCCCACCAAGCCUUCGAUGGCUACGGGGUCUAAAAGGAUGGUCCCGCACACUGGUACUGAGACACGGACCAGACUCCUACGGGAGGCAGCAGUGAGGAAUAUUGGUCAAUGGGGGCAACCCUGAACCAGCCAUGCCGCGUGGAGGAAGACGGCCCUAUGGGUUGUAAACUCCUUUUGCACGGGAAUAAAGGUACCCACGUGUGGGUGCGUGAAGGUACCGUGCGAAUAAGCAUCGGCUAACUCCGUGCCAGCAGCCGCGGUAAUACGGAGGAUGCAGGCGUUAUCCGGAUUUAUUAGGUUUAAAGGGUGCGCAGGCGGCCCGGUAAGUCAGCGGUGAAAGUUUGCAGCUCAACUGUAAAAUUGCCAUUGAUACUGCCGGGCUUGAAUACGGUAGAGGUAGGCGGAAUGUGUAGUGUAGCGGUGAAAUGCUUAGAUAUUACACAGAACACCGAUUGCGAAGGCAGCUUACUAUGCCGCGAUUGACGCUCAGGCACGAAAGCGUGGGUAGCGAACAGGAUUAGAUACCCUGGUAGUCCACGCCGUAAACGAUGAUUACUGGUUGUGCGCGAUAUACAGUGCGCGACUGAGGGAAACCAUUAAGUAAUCCACCUGGGGAGUACGUUCGCAAGAAUGAAACUCAAAGGAAUUGACGGGGGCCCGCACAAGCGGAGGAACAUGUGGUUUAAUUCGAUGAUACGCGAGGAACCUUACCUGGGCUUAAAUGUAGAGUGCAUUAGGUGGAAACACCUAUUCCCUUCGGGGCCCUCUACAAGGUGCUGCAUGGUUGUCGUCAGCUCGUGCCGUGAGGUGUCGGGUUAAGUCCCAUAACGAGCGCAACCCCUAUCGUUAGUUGCCAGCGGGUAAUGCCGGGGACUCUAGCGAAACUGCCGGUGUAAACCGAGAGGAAGGUGGGGAUGACGUCAAAUCAGCACGGCCCUUAUGUCCAGGGCUACACACGUGUUACAAUGGCCAGUACAAUGGGCAGCUACCGGGCGACCGGAUGCCAAUCUCCAAAGCUGGUCUCAGUUCGGAUCGGAGUCUGCAACUCGACUCCGUGAAGUUGGAUUCGCUAGUAAUCGUAUAUCAGCAAUGAUACGGUGAAUACGUUCCCGGGCCUUGUACACACCGCCCGUCAAGCCAUGGAAGCUGGGGGUACCUGAAGUGCGUAACCGCGAGGAGCGCCCUAGGGUAAAACUAGUGACUGGGGCUAAGUCGUAACAAGGUAGCCGUACCGGAAGGUGUGGCUGGAACACCUCCUUUCUGGAG